RNAcentral lists this ribosomal RNA (451 nucleotides) under uncultured bacterium. RNAcentral's name for it is "bacterial SSU rRNA". It matches the Rfam family "Bacterial small subunit ribosomal RNA", at positions 354 to 796 of the family's 1533-position model. The record is from RNAcentral.
GUGGGGAAUAUUGGGCAAUGGGCGAAAGCCUGACCCAGCGACGCCGCGUGGGCGAUGAAGGCCUUCGGGUUGUAAAGCCCUGUCAUGCGGAAAGAACGACCCUGUGACGCAUACUCACAGGGAGUGACGGUACCGCAGGAGGAAGCACCGGCUAACUCCGUGCCAGCAGCCGCGGUAAUACGGAGGGUGCAAGCGUUGUUCGGAAUUAUUGGGCGUAAAGGGCGCGUAGGCGGUAAUGCAAGUCAGAUGUGAAAUACUCCGGCUCAACUGGGGAACUGCAUCUGAAACUGCAUAACUAGAGUACAGAAGAGGGAAACGGAAUUCCCGGUGUAGAGGUGAAAUUCGUAGAUAUCGGGAGGAACACCAGUGGCGAAGGCGGUUUCCUGGUCUGAUACUGACGCUGAGGCGCGAAAGUGUGGGGAGCAAACAGGAUUAGAAACCCGGGUAGUCC